ACAAACUUGGUCAUUUAGAGGAAGUAAAAGUCGUAACAAGGUUUCCGUAGGUAUGUAUCGACUCCCUGCCCCCCGGGUGCUGGGACAUGCUAACGUUCUCUAGGUGAACCUGCGGAAGGAUCAUUACCGAGUAUUGGGGCCCAGCGCCCCUACUCCCGCCCAAUGUCUACCGAGCUCCCGUUGCUUUGGCGGGCCUGUGCCCGCCGGGGAACUGCAGAAACUCUCUGACGCGUCUUCUGAGUCGCGGGGAACUGGAUAAAACUUUCAACAACGGAUCUCUUGGCUCCGGCAUCGAUGAAGAACGCAGC
This 308-nucleotide unclassified non-coding RNA is filed under the name uncultured fungus. RNAcentral describes it as "partial contains small subunit ribosomal RNA, internal transcribed spacer 1, and 5.8S ribosomal RNA". The stretch from base 1 to 126 matches the Rfam family "Eukaryotic small subunit ribosomal RNA", at positions 1759 to 1831 of the family's 1831-position model. The record is from RNAcentral. Lineage: Eukaryota; Fungi.